ACCCGGGUAGUCCCAGCCGUAAACUAUGCUCGCUAGGUGUCAGGCAUGGCGCGACCGUGUCUGGGUGCCCGCAGGGGAAGCCGUGAAGCGAGCCACCUGGGAAGUACGGCCGCAAAGGCUGAAACUUAAAGGGAAUUGGCGGGGGAGCACAACAACGGGUGGAGCCUGCGGUUUAAUUGGACUCAACGCCGGACAACUCACCGGGGACGACAGCAAUAUGUAGGCCAGGCUGAAGACCUUGCCUGAAUCGCUG
Molecule: ribosomal RNA, 253 nt
Filed under: uncultured archaeon
Lineage: Archaea
Description: partial 16S ribosomal RNA
Rfam family: Archaeal small subunit ribosomal RNA
Source: RNAcentral